CUACCCUUAGGACCGGGAUAACCUUGGGAAACUGAGGAUAAUGCUGGAUAGGCAAUUAUUCCUGCAAUGGUUUUUUGUUUAAAUGUUUUUUCGCCUAAGGAUGGGUCUGCGGCCGAUUAGGUAGUUGGUUAGGUAACGGCUUACCAAGCCAUUGAUCGGUACGGGUUGUGAGAGCAAGAGCCCGGAGAUGGAACCUGAGACAAGGUUCCAGGCCCUACGGGGUGCAGCAGGCGCGAAACCUCCGCAAUGUGAGAAAUCGCGACGGGGGGAUCCCAAGUGCCAUUCUUAACGGGAUGGCUUUUCAUUAGUGUAAAGAGCUUUUGGAAUAAGGGCUGGGCAAGACCGGUGCCAGCCGCCGCGGUAACACCGGCAGCUCUAGUGGUAGCAGUUUUUAUUGGGCCUAAAGCGUCCGUAGCCGGUUUAAUAAGUCUCUGGUGAAAUCCUGUAGCUCAACUGUGGGAAUUGCUGGAGAUACUAUUAGACUUGAGACCGGGAGAGGUUAGAGGUACUCCCAGGGUAGAGGUGAAAUUCUGUAAUCCUGGGAGGACCGCCUGUUGCGAAGGCGUCUAACUGGAACGGUUCUGACGGUGAGGGACGAAAGUUAGGGGCGCGAACCGGAUUAGAUACCCGGGUAGUCCUAACCGUAAACGAUGCGGACUUGGUGUUGGGGUGGCUUUGAGCUGCUCCAGUGCC
This 693-nucleotide ribosomal RNA is filed under the name uncultured archaeon. Its description in RNAcentral is "bacterial SSU rRNA". It matches the Rfam family "Archaeal small subunit ribosomal RNA", at positions 109 to 802 of the family's 1478-position model. The record is from RNAcentral.